Molecule: ribosomal RNA, 483 nt
Filed under: Triticum aestivum (bread wheat)
Lineage: Eukaryota; Viridiplantae; Streptophyta; Magnoliopsida; Poales; Poaceae
Description: partial small subunit ribosomal RNA
Source: RNAcentral
AUGACCAACUUUGGCUUCACCGAGAAGCUAGUGCAAGUCCUCACCAGCUCUUUCUGGCCAUAUCUUGGUUGUCGAGCUUUCUUCAUCGCCUUGUUCUCUGGGACAAUGAUCCUAUUCUUAGCUUGUUAUGCUCCUACCAACGACUUCUCGGCUGCUAUGUCAAUAUUACCCUGGCUCCGAGGGUGGUUCAAAGAUCCAUUGAACUCCAACGACGGUCUCUCCCUCACGUUCUGCUUGUACUGCCAAAUAUUCAUUGCGCAGAGCGGGUUCUUCACCGCCAAGCUCUCAGAUCGCUGGUCCAAGAAGCAGCGGGCAUCGGUCUACGACUGCGACGAUGUGGAGGUAUACCUUGAGACUCUAUUCCUCAUCUGUUGCAAGGAUCUCUGCAGGAGGCUGAUGAGGAAGGUUGUGGGCAAGUGCAAAGCAGCACUAGAUGGACUAAGUUACUUUGUAUUUGCAGCGAUUGAUACCAUUGACGUUUGA